This 253-nucleotide ribosomal RNA is filed under the name uncultured bacterium. Its description in RNAcentral is "partial 16S ribosomal RNA". It matches the Rfam family "Bacterial small subunit ribosomal RNA", at positions 524 to 776 of the family's 1533-position model. The record is from RNAcentral.
UACGUAGGGUGCGAGCGUUAAUCGGAAUUACUGGGCGUAAAGCGUGCGCAGGCGGCUUUGCAAGACAGAUGUGAAAUCCCCGGGCUCAACCUGGGAACUGCAUUUGUGACUGCAAGGCUAGAGUACGGCAGAGGGGGAUGGAAUUCCGCGUGUAGCAGUGAAAUGCGUAGAUAUGCGGAGGAACACCAAUGGCGAAGGCAAUCCCCUGGGCCUGUACUGACGCUCAUGCACGAAAGCGUGGGGAGCAAACAUG